UUUUUGACGAGCGCAUCUAUUAGAUUAAAACCAAUCGGAUUUCGGUCCGUCAUUUGGUGACUCUGAAUAGCUAUGGCUGAUCGCAUGGUCUUGUACCGGCGACGUAUCUAUCAAGUGUCUGCCUUAUCAACUUUCGAUGGUAGUUUAUGUGCCUACCAUGGUUGUAACGGGUAACGGAGAAUAAGGGUUCGACUCCGGAGAGGGAGCCUGAGAAACGGCUACCACAUCCAAGGAAGGCAGCAGGCGCGCAAAUUACCCACUCUCGGCAUGAGGAGGUAGUGACGAAAAAUAACGAGACCGUUCUCUAUGAGGCCGGUUAUCGGAAUGGGUACAAUUUAAACCCGUUAACGAGGAUCUAUGAGAGGGCAAGUCUGGUGCCAGCAGCCGCGGUAAUUCCAGCUCUCAAAGUGUAUAUCGUCAUUGCUGCGGUUAAAAAGCUCGUAGUUGGAUCUGCGCCUCAGGACUCGGUCCGCCCACUGGGUGAGAACUGGGCUCCUAGGCUAAUACUGCUGGUUUUCCCUAUGUUGCCUUCACCGGUCGCGUAGGGUGGCUAGCGAGUUUACUUUGAAAAAAUUAGAGUGCUUCACGCGGGCUAUUGUCUGAAUACUCGUGCAUGGAAUAAUAGAAUAGGAUCUCGGUUCUAUUUUGUUGGUUUUCUGAUCUGAGAUAAUGGUUAAGAGGGACGGACGGGGGCAUUCGUAUCGCUGCGUGAGAGGUGAAAUUCUUGGACCGUAGCGAGACGUCCGACUGCGAAAGCAUUUGCCAAGAAUGUCUUCAUUAAUCAAGAACGAAAGUCAGAGGUUCGAAGGCGAUCAGA
This 817-nucleotide ribosomal RNA is filed under the name Aplectana chamaeleonis. RNAcentral describes it as "SSU rRNA". It matches the Rfam family "Eukaryotic small subunit ribosomal RNA", at positions 191 to 1012 of the family's 1831-position model. Lineage: Eukaryota; Metazoa; Nematoda; Chromadorea; Rhabditida; Cosmocercidae. The record is from RNAcentral.